Molecule: long non-coding RNA, 272 nt
Organism: Ficedula albicollis (Collared flycatcher)
Lineage: Eukaryota; Metazoa; Chordata; Aves; Passeriformes; Muscicapidae
Exons: 3
Source: RefSeq, a predicted model, not a curated record
GAGCUGGAGGAUGACAAGAUCUCGCUGCCCUUCGUGGUGACGGACCUGAGCGGCCGCAGCCUCAGGCUGCUGCGGGACCGAGCCACGGCCCAGGGGCAGUACCUGACGGUGGAGCAGCUGACGCUGGACUUCGAGUACGUCAUUAACGAGGUGAUUCGCAACGACGCCGCCUGGUCCCGCCAGUUCUGCUCCUUCAGCGACUACGACAUCGUCAUCCUCGAGGUGUGCCCCGAGACCAACCAGGUGGUGAUCAACAUCGGGCUGCUGCUGCU